CCCUCAUAGACACAUCUGGAAAUAUCGUUGAGAUAUUCCUAUUAGUUAUUGGACUGACGAAAAUCUAGAACUUCAAGUGAAAAUAUCACUUCAGAUGGAAUCUUAAUGGAAAGCCAGAAAUGAAUGGAAACUGAAUAAUAGCAGAGCUGCUUUGGAUGCUAAGAGCUGUCGUCAGAGUUUCCAAGAAUUAAUGGCAUUGCCCAUAGGAUUCACAACCACUGUCCUGGGGGAUGUGGGCCAAAGAAGACUGGGUUUGGACCUGGCCAUUCGGCUCCAGAGCCCCUUUGGACAAAUGAGGAUUCCAGAGACUUGAGUCCAGCCAACUUUCUCCUUCCACUCAGAAGACUCAUCUAGUAGUGCUCUUUCAACUUUUAAGUGUGAGAAAAAUGAAGGAACUGGAGACUUCUGUUUCUACUCAGUAGCUGUAAUAAGAAAUCUGCAUAUUGGACUUGCAUCUUGAGAGGUUUCAGUGAAAAGCCUUUAACUGAUGGUAAUUUGUGAGUUGGAAAAAAAAAAACUUUGCUCAUCUGACAAGAACAUUUGUCGAAAAAUGUGAUGCUGCUCUUAGACAACACUGUUGCCUGGCUGGACAGCAGAAUUCAAGAGGAAAACCUGUAGAAAUUAUCCUCCACCACCAACCACCGCUCUCCAUCAUCUGGAUCCUAUUUUUGGGGGCAAGGCAGUGAGUAAAUUCAGUUGGGCAUUAGAACUUUCAGGUGAAUUCAGGUCUCUUUUAUUAUCAGUGUAUGGAGUAUUUAAGAUGCCUUUACUGGAUAUAGGGCUUUGCCUUGAAAUAGUUUCAACAGACUUUUUUUGUUAAUGUAUGUAAACUCACCAAAUCAUUACUCAGCAAAAUAAAAUAAUUUAUUUCUUGAAAGAAUGGCCAUCCCUUUAUCUCUCCAGUCCUAGUAACCAACACACAGGUAAGCAGUCCCUUAAUAAUUGUUUGCUGAAUGAGUGAAGGAUUGAAUGCAGAGUGAAAAGAGAAAGACAUGUAACUGCCUUGUGACUUCUUUACAAACACAUCUAAAGAAGCACCAUUUGUUUGAUUCUCAUUACUUCUCCUAAAUGUCGCUUGUAAAGCCUU
Long non-coding RNA from Panthera uncia (snow leopard), 1087 nucleotides. RefSeq lists it as uncharacterized. The record is from RefSeq and is a predicted model, not a curated record. The transcript is spliced from 6 exons. Lineage: Eukaryota; Metazoa; Chordata; Mammalia; Carnivora; Felidae.